UACGUAGGGGCGAGCGUUGUCCGGAUUUAUUGGGUUUAAAGGGUGCGUAGGCGGCUUUUUAAGUCAGCGGUGAAAUUUUGCAGCUUAACUGUAACAGUGCCGUUGAUACUGGGGAGCUAGGAUUUGGUUGCUGUGGGUGGAAUGUGUGGUGUAGCGGUGAAAUGCUUAGAGAUCACACAGAAUAUCGAUUGCGAAGGCAGCUCACAAAGCCAAGAUUGACGCUGAGGCACGAAAGUGUGGGGAUCAAACAGGAUUAGAUACCCGU
Molecule: ribosomal RNA, 265 nt
Filed under: uncultured prokaryote
Description: partial 16S ribosomal RNA
Rfam family: Bacterial small subunit ribosomal RNA
Source: RNAcentral